AACAGGUAAACAUGAGUUCAGCCAUGGCCAUCGAGAGGAUGUGUUACGCUCAGGUGAUCCCAACACGGGACAGACAGGAGGGCAUGGCUGCUUUCAUAGAGAAGAGACCCCCACGAUACACUGGAGAGUGAACACACAAACACACACACACACACACACGCACAGAGCUCACAUUAAUGUGAGCACAUGUUGAAGGUCAGAGUGUUGAGGAGGAAGUGUUAUUGAUCGAAGAGCUGUAACGCCAUUUUUGAACUGAUUCUGAUUGUUUAUUUUCACAUGAAUUUGAUGUUUGUAAUAAAAGUUCACUGACACACGUUGUCUCCACUUUA
This is a non-coding RNA of Labrus bergylta (ballan wrasse), 329 nucleotides long. The record is from RefSeq and is a predicted model, not a curated record. Lineage: Eukaryota; Metazoa; Chordata; Actinopteri; Labriformes; Labridae.